Molecule: ribosomal RNA, 482 nt
Filed under: uncultured bacterium
Lineage: Bacteria
Description: partial 16S ribosomal RNA
Rfam family: Bacterial small subunit ribosomal RNA
Source: RNAcentral
AUUGAACGCUGGCGGCAUGCCUUACACAUGCAAGUCGAACGGUAACGGGCCUUCGGGUGCCGACGAGUGGCGAACGGGUGCGUAAUACAUCGGAACGUGCCCGAUCGUGGGGGAUAACGAGGCGAAAGCUUUGCUAAUACCGCAUACGAUCUACGGAUGAAAGCAGGGGACCGCAAGGCCUUGCGCGGACGGAGCGGCCGAUGGCAGAUUAGGUAGUUGGUGGGAUAAAAGCUUACCAAGCCGACGAUCUGUAGCUGGUCUGAGAGGAUGAUCAGCCACACUGGGACUGAGACACGGCCCAGACUCCUACGGGAGGCAGCAGUGGGGAAUUUUGGACAAUGGGCGCAAGCCUGAUCCAGCCAUGCCGCGUGCAGGAUGAAGGCCUUCGGGUUGUAAACUGCUUUUGUACGGAACGAAAAGCCUUCUUUUAAUACAGGAGGGUCAUGACGGUACCGGAAGAAUAAGCACCGGCUAACUACGUG